UGGCGAACGGGUGAGUAACGCGUGAGGAACCUGCCUCAAAGAGGGGGACAACAGUUGGAAACGACUGCUAAUACCGCAUAAGCCCACGACCCGGCAUCGGGUAGAGGGAAAAGGAGCAAUCCGCUUUGAGAUGGCCUCGCGUCCGAUUAGCUAGUUGGUGAGGUAACGGCCCACCAAGGCAACGAUCGGUAGCCAGACUGAGAGGUUGAACGGCCACAUUGGGACUGAGACACGGCCCAG
RNAcentral lists this ribosomal RNA (240 nucleotides) under uncultured bacterium. RNAcentral's name for it is "partial 16S ribosomal RNA". It matches the Rfam family "Bacterial small subunit ribosomal RNA", at positions 96 to 334 of the family's 1533-position model. The record is from RNAcentral.